UACGAAGGGGGCUAGCGUUGUUCGGAAUUACUGGGCGUAAAGCGCACGUAGGCGGAUUGUUAAGUUAGGGGUGAAAUCCCAGGGCUCAACCCUGGAACUGCCUUUAAUACUGGCAAUCUCGAGUCUGAGAGAGGUGAAUGGAAUUCCGAGUGUAGAGGUGAAAUUCGUAGAUAUUCGGAGGAACACCAGUGGCGAAGGCGGCUCACUGGCUCGGUACUGACGCUGAGGUGCGAAAGCGUGGGGAGCAAACAGG
This 253-nucleotide ribosomal RNA is filed under the name uncultured bacterium. RNAcentral describes it as "partial 16S ribosomal RNA". It matches the Rfam family "Bacterial small subunit ribosomal RNA", at positions 524 to 776 of the family's 1533-position model. The record is from RNAcentral.